GUUUGGGUGAUGACUUAACAACUUGUCGGAUACCCCUUCACUCGUCUGAUGAGUGAGACCAGCAGUCUGACAAAC
Molecule: small nucleolar RNA, 75 nt
Organism: Amazona collaria (yellow-billed parrot)
Lineage: Eukaryota; Metazoa; Chordata; Aves; Psittaciformes; Psittacidae
Product: small nucleolar RNA, C/D box 101
Source: Ensembl